This 740-nucleotide ribosomal RNA is filed under the name uncultured bacterium. Its description in RNAcentral is "bacterial SSU rRNA". It matches the Rfam family "Bacterial small subunit ribosomal RNA", at positions 790 to 1530 of the family's 1533-position model. The record is from RNAcentral.
GUAGUCCUGGCUGUAAACGAUGUCGACUUGGAGGUUGUGCCCUUGAGGCGUGGCUUCCGGAGCUAACGCGUUAAGUCGACCGCCUGGGGAGUACGGCCGCAAGGUUAAAACUCAAAUGAAUUGACGGGGGCCCGCACAAGCGGUGGAGCAUGUGGUUUAAUUCGAUGCAACGCGAAGAACCUUACCUGGUCUUGACAUCCACGGAAGUUUUCAGAGAUGAGAAUGUGCCUUCGGGAACCGUGAGACAGGUGCUGCAUGGCUGUCGUCAGCUCGUGUUGUGAAAUGUUGGGUUAAGUCCCGCAACGAGCGCAACCCUUAUCCUUUGUUGCCAGCGGUCCGGCCGGGAACUCAAAGGAGACUGCCAGCGAUAAACUGGAGGAAGGUGGGGAUGACGUCAAGUCAUCAUGGCCCUUACGACCAGGGCUACACACGUGCUACAAUGGCGCAUACAAAGAGAAGCGACCUCGCGAGAGCAAGCGGACCUCAUAAAGUGCGUCGUAGUCCGGAUUGGAGUCUGCAACUCGACUCCAUGAAGUCGGAAUCGCUAGUAAUCGUGGAUCAGAAUGCCACGGUGAAUACGUUCCCGGGCCUUGUACACACCGCCCGUCACACCAUGGGAGCGGGUUGCAAAAGAAGUAGGUAGCUUAACCUUCGGGAGGGCGCUUACCACUUUGUGAUUCAUGACUGGGGUGAAGUCGUAACAAGGUAACCGUAGGGGAACCUGCGGCUGGAUCACCUCC